RNAcentral lists this transfer RNA (71 nucleotides) under Massilia violaceinigra. RNAcentral's name for it is "tRNA-Gly". The record is from RNAcentral. Lineage: Bacteria; Pseudomonadati; Pseudomonadota; Betaproteobacteria; Burkholderiales; Oxalobacteraceae.
GGAACGAUGGUGUAAUGGAAGCACAGCCCCACUCCAUGGGUCCGGCGUUGGUUCGACCCCAACUCGUUUCC